GUAGUCAUAUGCUUGUCUCAAAGAUUAAGCCAUGCAUGUCUAAGUAUAAACAAAUUUGUACUGUGAAACUGCGAAUGGCUCAUUAAAUCAGUUAUAGUUUAUUUGAUGAUAUCUUGCUACAUGGAUAACUGUGGUAAUUCUAGAGCUAAUACUUGCAAUCAAGCCCCGACUUCUGGAAGGGGUGUAUUUAUUAGAUAAAAAACCAACGCGGCUCGCCGCUCCCUUGGUGAUUCAUAAUAACUUCUCGAAUCGCAUGGCCUCGUGCCGGCGAUGCUUCAUUCAAAUAUCUGCCCUAUCAACUUUCGAUGGUAGGAUAGAGGCCUACCACGGUUUCAACGGGUAACGGGGAAU
RNAcentral lists this ribosomal RNA (351 nucleotides) under uncultured Arthromyces. RNAcentral's name for it is "SSU rRNA". It matches the Rfam family "Eukaryotic small subunit ribosomal RNA", at positions 20 to 370 of the family's 1831-position model. Lineage: Eukaryota; Fungi; Basidiomycota; Agaricomycetes; Agaricales; Tricholomataceae. The record is from RNAcentral.